RNAcentral lists this long non-coding RNA (370 nucleotides) under Homo sapiens (human). RNAcentral's name for it is "non-protein coding TMEM161B-AS1:37". The record is from RNAcentral. Lineage: Eukaryota; Metazoa; Chordata; Mammalia; Primates; Hominidae.
CUUUCGCAUAUCCAAAUUGCCAGCAUCACCGCUCUUGCACUCCAAGCCAUUAUUAAGUAAAGUAAAGAACACAAACACUGUGAUACUGCUACACUUGAUCUGAUAACCAAGAAGUCUACUAAGUGACUAACAGUUAAUAUUUUUGGACAUGAGGUGACUGCAGUUAACUAAAACCAUGGAAAGCAAACCCAUAGAUAAAGGGAUACUAUGAGCAACUGGGAACCUAAUUCUGACCAAAAAGGAGGAAUUGUUUGGCUAAUUGGAAGUGACAGAAACCUUGGGAGAAAGCAACCGCAUACCAAGGAUAAUUAUAAGAAGGUAACAUGGGCCCUAAAGGAUAGUGUCAAGAAACCUGAAACCCCCAAAUGAG